Molecule: ribosomal RNA, 484 nt
Filed under: uncultured bacterium
Lineage: Bacteria
Description: partial 16S ribosomal RNA
Rfam family: Bacterial small subunit ribosomal RNA
Source: RNAcentral
AUUGAACGCUGGCGGCAGGCCUAACACAUGCAAGUCGAGCGGAUGAAGGGAGCUUGCUCCUGGCUUCAGCGGCGGACGGGUGAGUAAUGCCUAGGAAUCUGCCUGGUAGUGGGGGAUAACGUCCGGAUACGGGCGCUAAUACCGCAUACGUCAUGAGGGAGAAAGUGGGGGAUCUUCGGAACUCACGCUAUCAGAUGAGCCUAGGUCGGAUUAGCUAGUUGGUGGGGUAAAGGCCUACCAAGGCGACGAUCCGUAACUGGUCUGAGAGGAUGAUCAGUCACACUGGAACUGAGACACGGUCCAGACUCCUACGGGAGGCAGCAGUGGGGAAUAUUGGACAAUGGGCGAAAUCCUGAUCCAGCCAUGCCGCGUGUGUGAAGAAGGUCUUCGGAUUGUAAAGCACGUUAAGUUGGGAGGAAGGGCAGUAAGUUAAUACCUUGCUGUUUUGACGUUACCAACAGAAUAAGCACCGGCUAACUACGUG